Molecule: long non-coding RNA, 234 nt
Filed under: Elaeis guineensis (African oil palm)
Lineage: Eukaryota; Viridiplantae; Streptophyta; Magnoliopsida; Arecales; Arecaceae
Description: long non-coding RNA (EGUI_LNC080310)
Source: RNAcentral
GGUGGAUGUCGGAUGGCGCUGGAGAGGUUCAUCCGCUGGAGGGGUCCAGCUGCUGGAUUCUGUGUGCCCAGAAUCUGUCCGCUACAGAAGUUCGGUCGGAGUUCGAUCUCCGUAGAAGCCCGAUGGGGAUCAUUUGUCGAGGAAUCUCGGUCGAAGCCUGUCUGCAAUAGAAAUCUGGAAGGAAUUCAUCCACAAUGGAAGCUCGAGUGAAGGCUUACAGUGGGAAUCCAAAGC